This 46-nucleotide non-coding RNA is filed under the name Rhodobacteraceae bacterium 4F10. RNAcentral describes it as "SAM-SAH-Weickhmann-2018 RNA". It matches the Rfam family "SAM/SAH riboswitch aptamer". The record is from RNAcentral. Lineage: Bacteria; Pseudomonadati; Pseudomonadota; Alphaproteobacteria; Rhodobacterales; Paracoccaceae.
UCGUCACAACGGCUUCCUGGCGUGACGAUUAAUACCCAGUGGAGCA